CAGACGGUGGUUUAGUGGCAAAAUUACCGCUUGCCAUUUUUCAACUUGCGGUAGCCCCGAGUUCGAUUCUCGGCCGUCUGA
Molecule: non-coding RNA, 81 nt
Organism: Thoreauomyces humboldtii
Lineage: Eukaryota; Fungi; Chytridiomycota; Chytridiomycetes; Spizellomycetales; Powellomycetaceae
Source: the annotation of a GenBank genome assembly